RNAcentral lists this long non-coding RNA (774 nucleotides) under Brassica rapa (field mustard). RNAcentral describes it as "long non-coding RNA (BRAP_LNC005517)". The record is from RNAcentral. Lineage: Eukaryota; Viridiplantae; Streptophyta; Magnoliopsida; Brassicales; Brassicaceae.
CGCGAGUUCAUAAUUAUUUGGUAGAAAAAUAAAAUGCGUAUCGUCAAAACUUUUUUGUAAUGACCUCAUAGAGUGAUUAGCUAAUGUGCCCACUCAACUACUCAUAAGUGCAAUAAAAUCUGUUUUAAAAUUAAAUAUAAGAACUCAAAGUUAUUUAACCUUGGCUGUUCGAUGCGAUUGUGGUGAGAGAGAAAAAAGUGCACAAUGGCAUCAGUGGAAUGUAACACCACAUGAGAUCACGCCUCAGUUUCUUAUUCCCCGCCAUUGUUAGUGUUGUGAUGACUAGUUUGCCAAUAUGUUAUAUCAGCGAAUGGGAAAAGGAAUAGUUCUCAAUAGCAUAUUUUUUUUUUUUGCUAACCGAGUAUCCUACCUCCACCAAGGUGGUCCAGACUAGAGACCGAAGUGAGCAUGGACGCUGCCAGGGCGUGACCAUGUGGCUCACCGUGUAACGGUCUUCGGUCUCAGAUACUACAGCCUAUAUGUAAAUUUCGCAGUGACCAAGAUUCGAACCAAGGCGGGCACUCCAGCUGGAGCUCUUAUACACAGUGCCGGCCCUUGCACGAAGCUGACGAAGCAACCGCUUGCGGCCGUAAAAUUUAUAUAUUAAAUCCGGCCACAUGUUACAGAUGUUUUCUGUAGUCCAGUGGUAAACUCAUGUUCACAUAAUCAAAAGAUCAUGGGUUCGACAACCAACAGCCAUGAUUCCACUUUCUACUUGUUCUUUUUAUUUUUUUCUAUUUAAAAAAGUGACCACAAUUUUUUUUUUUGCAUCCA